This 254-nucleotide ribosomal RNA is filed under the name uncultured bacterium. Its description in RNAcentral is "partial 16S ribosomal RNA". It matches the Rfam family "Bacterial small subunit ribosomal RNA", at positions 524 to 776 of the family's 1533-position model. The record is from RNAcentral.
UCCGUAGGCAGCGAGCGUUGUUCGGAGUUACUGGGCGUAAAGGGCGCGUAGGCGGUCAGCACAAGUCAGUUGUGAAAUCUCCGGGCUUAACUCGGAAAGGUCAACUGAUACUGUGCGACUAGAGUGCGGAAGGGGCAACUGGAAUUCUCGGUGUAGCGGUGAAAUGCGUAGAUAUCGAGAGGAACACCUGCGGCGAAGGCGGGUUGCUGGGCCGACACUGACGCUGAUGCGCGAAAGCCAGGGGAGCGAACGGG